GAAUUUAAUAUAAUUUUUGAAUUUAUUUAAGGAAAUAAAUUUUAUUUUAAUAAUUAUAUUUUAUUGGGAGGAUAAUUAAACAGAAUAAACUUUAAUUUUAAGAUAAUUUAAACAUUAAUUAAUGAAAUUUUUAUUGAAGAUUGAUUAUUAAAUUAGAAAGAAAAUUUAUAAUAAUUAUUAUAAAAAUUAAUUACCUUAGGGAUAACAGCGUAAUAUUUUUAGAAAGAUCAUAUUGAUAAAAGUGAUUGC
RNAcentral lists this ribosomal RNA (249 nucleotides) under Nylanderia fulva. Its description in RNAcentral is "partial large subunit ribosomal RNA". Lineage: Eukaryota; Metazoa; Arthropoda; Insecta; Hymenoptera; Formicidae. The record is from RNAcentral.